GUAGGGAAUAUUGCGCAAUGGACGAAAGUCUGACGCAGCGACGCCGCGUGAGUGAUGAAGGCCUUAGGGUCGUAAAGCUCUGUUGAAUGGGAAGAAAAAAAUGACGGUACCAUUCGAGGAAGGACCGGCUAACUUCGUGCCAGCAGCCGCGGUAAUACGAGGGGUCCUAGCGUUGUUCGGAAUCAUUGGGCGUAAAGGGUGUGUAGGUGGACAUGUAAGUCAGGUGUGAAAGCCCAGGGCUCAACCCGAGAAGUGCAAUUGAUACUGCGUGGCUUGAGUACCGAGGAGGGUAGUGGAAUUCCAGGUGGAGUGGUGAAAUACGUAGAUAUCUGGAGGAACACCGGUGGCGAAGGCGGCUACCUGGUCGAGGACUGACACUGAGACACGAAAGCAUGGGGAUCAAACAGGAUUAGAAACCCCGGUAGUCC
This 428-nucleotide ribosomal RNA is filed under the name uncultured bacterium. Its description in RNAcentral is "partial 16S ribosomal RNA". It matches the Rfam family "Bacterial small subunit ribosomal RNA", at positions 354 to 796 of the family's 1533-position model. The record is from RNAcentral.